This 637-nucleotide ribosomal RNA is filed under the name Penicillium roqueforti. Its description in RNAcentral is "eukaryotic LSU rRNA". It matches the Rfam family "Eukaryotic large subunit ribosomal RNA", at positions 1 to 649 of the family's 3401-position model. Lineage: Eukaryota; Fungi; Ascomycota; Eurotiomycetes; Eurotiales; Aspergillaceae. The record is from RNAcentral.
AGGUUGACCUCGGAUCAGGUAGGGAUACCCGCUGAACUUAAGCAUAUCAAUAAGCGGAGGAAAAGAAACCAACAGGGAUUGCCCCAGUAACGGCGAGUGAAGCGGCAAGAGCUCAAAUUUGAAAGCUGGCUCCUUCGGGGUCCGCAUUGUAAUUUGUAGAGGAUGCUUCGGGAGCGGUCCCCAUCUAAGUGCCCUGGAACGGGACGUCAUAGAGGGUGAGAAUCCCGUAUGGGAUGGGGUGUCCGCGCCCGUGUGAAGCUCCUUCGACGAGUCGAGUUGUUUGGGAAUGCAGCUCUAAAUGGGUGGUAAAUUUCAUCUAAAGCUAAAUAUUGGCCGGAGACCGAUAGCGCACAAGUAGAGUGAUCGAAAGAUGAAAAGCACUUUGAAAAGAGAGUUAAAAAGCACGUGAAAUUGUUGAAAGGGAAGCGCUUGCGACCAGACUCGCUCGCGGGGUUCAGCCGGCAUUCGUGCCGGUGUAUUUCCCCGCGGGCGGGCCAGCGUCGGUUUGGGCGGUCGGUCAAAGGCCCUCGGAAGGUAACGCCCCUAGGGGCGUCUUAUAGCCGAGGGUGCAAUGCGACCUGCCUAGACCGAGGAACGCGCUUCGGCUCGGACGCUGGCAUAAUGGUCGUAAGCGACC